Molecule: long non-coding RNA, 94 nt
Organism: Phyllostomus discolor (pale spear-nosed bat)
Lineage: Eukaryota; Metazoa; Chordata; Mammalia; Chiroptera; Phyllostomidae
Exons: 3
Source: RefSeq, a predicted model, not a curated record
AACUGGGCCUGAGAAGGUGCCAAUCUGGUAAGUGCCCUGGGGACCAGGAGCCCAAAAACCAGGCCCACUCUUGUAGUGGAAGGAGGGACUGAUC